GGUCAGCUGGCUCAAUGGCAGAGCGUCUGACUACGAAUCAGGAGGUUCCAGGUUCGACCCCUGGGUGGAUCG
This 72-nucleotide transfer RNA is filed under the name Schizothecium vesticola. It matches the Rfam family "tRNA". From Rfam's summary of the family: Transfer RNA (tRNA) molecules are approximately 80 nucleotides in length. Their secondary structure includes four short double-helical elements and three loops (D, anti-codon, and T loops). The record is from Rfam by way of RNAcentral. Lineage: Eukaryota; Fungi; Ascomycota; Sordariomycetes; Sordariales; Schizotheciaceae.